AAUGGUUGCGAUGAGGAUAUAUAGCUCCCUCUUCUGAUUUAAAGUUGAAGAGAUUGGCUGGCAGAAUCGAACCUAUGACUUUAUUAGCCAUCACUGAGUAA
This 101-nucleotide small nucleolar RNA is filed under the name Cephalotus follicularis. Its description in RNAcentral is "Small nucleolar RNA R30/Z108". It matches the Rfam family "Small nucleolar RNA R30/Z108". Rfam says of the family: snoR30 is a C/D box small nucleolar RNA which acts as a methylation guide for 18S ribosomal RNA in plants. The record is from Rfam by way of RNAcentral. Lineage: Eukaryota; Viridiplantae; Streptophyta; Magnoliopsida; Oxalidales; Cephalotaceae.